RNAcentral lists this ribosomal RNA (265 nucleotides) under uncultured archaeon. RNAcentral describes it as "partial 16S ribosomal RNA". It matches the Rfam family "Archaeal small subunit ribosomal RNA", at positions 718 to 982 of the family's 1478-position model. The record is from RNAcentral.
AGUCACUGACAUUAGAUACCCCUGUAGUCCAGGGUGUAAACGCUGCAGACUUGGUGUUGGGAACCCUUCGGGGGUGCUCAGUGCCGGAGAGAAGUUGUUAAGUCUGCUACUUGGGGAGUACGUCCGCAAGGAUGAAACUUAAAGGAAUUGGCGGGGGAGCACCGCAACGGGAGGAGCGUGCGGUUUAAUUGGAUUCAACACCGUAAAACUCACCAGGGAAGACUGUUACAUGAAGGCCGAGAUGAAGACUCUGCUAGAUUUUCAG